RNAcentral lists this ribosomal RNA (467 nucleotides) under uncultured bacterium. RNAcentral's name for it is "partial 16S ribosomal RNA". It matches the Rfam family "Bacterial small subunit ribosomal RNA", at positions 29 to 507 of the family's 1533-position model. The record is from RNAcentral.
ACGAACGCUGGCGGCGUGCUUAACACAUGCAAGUCGAACGGAAAGGCCCUGCUUUUGUGGGGUGCUCGAGUGGCGAACGGGUGAGUAACACGUGAGUGACCUGCCCUUGACUUUGGGAUAACUUCAGGAAACUGGGGCUAAUACCGGAUAGGAGCUCCUGCUGCAUGGUGGGGGUUGGAAAGUUUCGGCGGUUGGGGAUGGACUCGCGGCUUAUCAGCUUGUUGGUGGGGUAGUGGCUUACCAAGGCUUUGACGGGUAGCCGGCCUGAGAGGGUGACCGGCCACAUUGGGACUGAGAUACGGCCCAGACUCCUACGGGAGGCAGCAGUGGGGAAUAUUGCACAAUGGGCGGAAGCCUGAUGCAGCAACGCCGCGUGCGGGAUGACGGCCUUCGGGUUGUAAACCGCUUUCGCCUGUGACGAAGCGUGAGUGACGGUAAUGGGUAAAGAAGCACCGGCUAACUACGUG